AUUGAACGCUGGCGGCAUGCCUUACACAUGCAAGUCGAACGGCAGCACGGGAGCAAUCCUGGUGGCGAGUGGCGAACGGGUGAGUAAUAUAUCGGAACGUGCCCAGUCGUGGGGAUAACGUAGCGAAAGCUACGCUAAUACCGCAUACGAUCUAUGGAUGAAAGCGGGGGAUCGCAAGACCUCGCGCGAUUGGAGCGGCCGAUAUCAGAUUAGGUAGUUGGUGAGGUAAAGGCUCACCAAGCCGACGAUCUGUAGCUGGUCUGAGAGGACGACCAGCCACACUGGAACUGAGACACGGUCCAGACUCCUACGGGAGGCAGCAGUGGGGAAUAUUGGACAAUGGGCGAAAGACCUGAUCCAGCAAUGCCGCGUGAGUGAUGAAGGCCUUAGGGUUGU
Molecule: ribosomal RNA, 396 nt
Filed under: uncultured bacterium
Lineage: Bacteria
Description: bacterial SSU rRNA
Rfam family: Bacterial small subunit ribosomal RNA
Source: RNAcentral